RNAcentral lists this ribosomal RNA (254 nucleotides) under uncultured bacterium. RNAcentral describes it as "partial 16S ribosomal RNA". It matches the Rfam family "Bacterial small subunit ribosomal RNA", at positions 524 to 776 of the family's 1533-position model. The record is from RNAcentral.
UACGUAGGGUGCGAGCGUUGUCCGGAAUUAUUGGGUGUAAAGAGCUCGUAGGCGGUCUGUCGCGUCGGUCGUGAAAACUUGGGGCUUAACCCUGAGCUUGCGGUCGAUACGGGCAUGACUGGAGUUCGGCAGGGGAGACUGGAAUUCCUGGUGUAGCGGUGAAAUGCGCAGAUAUCAGGAGGAACACCGGUGGCGAAGGCGGGUCUCUGGGCCGAUACUGACGCUGAGGAGCGAAAGCGUGGGGAGCGAACAGG